GGGGCUGUAGCUCAAUGGGAGAGCACUUGCCUGGCACGUGUGAAGCACUGGGUUCAAUCCUCAGCACCA
This 69-nucleotide transfer RNA is filed under the name Ictidomys tridecemlineatus (thirteen-lined ground squirrel). RNAcentral's name for it is "Spermophilus tridecemlineatus (thirteen-lined ground squirrel) tRNA". It matches the Rfam family "tRNA". Rfam says of the family: Transfer RNA (tRNA) molecules are approximately 80 nucleotides in length. Their secondary structure includes four short double-helical elements and three loops (D, anti-codon, and T loops). The record is from Rfam by way of RNAcentral. Lineage: Eukaryota; Metazoa; Chordata; Mammalia; Rodentia; Sciuridae.